Ostrea edulis (European flat oyster) is the source of this 1423-nucleotide long non-coding RNA. RefSeq lists it as uncharacterized. Lineage: Eukaryota; Metazoa; Mollusca; Bivalvia; Ostreida; Ostreidae. The record is from RefSeq and is a predicted model, not a curated record. The transcript has 4 exons.
AUUUUUUACGUGUGUUAAAUUAAAUCUAACCGUGUCACUUCGUUUUUUCUACUAUUGUUGGGUUGCAUAGGGUUGCUGGUGAAGAUAUAGACUGAGUUUUAUAGAUGACACGCACCAGUUUUCCUAUUUCGAACUGGCAAUUUCAGAUAGAAUUUCCUCCACUCAUUUUUGGACAAUUUUUGAUUACAUAUAGAUCUCACGACGUGCUUUACUUUGAUAAGACUAUAUAGGCUAUAGCUGAAGUUUAAACGAUUACUUUUUUGUGCGAUGAUGGAGAUAAUUUUCCAUACAUAUGGAAAGAAGAAACAUAUGAUAGUGGGUGAAAAAAACACCCUCAUAUAUAAUGCUUCAUGAAUAUGCAAAACCAUGCCAACAGUCUACAGACUCCAGAUGGAAAGAGAUGGAGAAAGAAUUUCUAAAGGGGUAUUCAAGGACCCAUCCUCCUCCACACUAAUUCAUAUUGGAAGGAAUUGACAUCCAACUUGAAUAAAGAAUUACAGACUUCCAGAACAGGUGCAUCAUGCAGAUCCUUUUAAAAAGGAGAGGCCAGAUCUUCAGAUGACUUUAUUGAAAAUGAAAAAUUUCUGAGUGGAAGUGACGAAUGUGGCAUGCAUACAAGCAGACAUCAGCAUUCCCUCCCUCUUGUUAGUGUAAGUAAAACCUGCAUGAAUAUAAAACUUUAGAAGAAAAGGGAAAUAUAUUGACAUUCAAAAUUCACAGCUGGUUGUUCAUCUUCUACAAAAAUUACAGACUUGUUUCAUUAUUUAUCUAUGAUAAAAUUAUGACAUAAUUAAUAUUUAUGAUGUAUGUGUAUUGUGUAUUUACUACUAUUCCUGAUACAAAUCUUUACUGAUUAUACUGAUGUUUGUGACAUUGUUUAUAAUUUUUAGAUCAGAGGUGAGCUUUUUGAGAAAGACUCAUGCGAAAUAUAUAACACAGACAUGUUUCAGUUACUUGGGGAUAACACUUAUGAGGAAUUUUGCUAACUUUCAGAUUGGAAUGUGUUGCACAAGAAAUGCUUGAUCACAACCCUCUUCUGUUAAAAACCUUUUCCAUGCAAAUAGUGUAAAUGAAACUUAGCUAUUUCAUUAGUAAACAUGUUUUCUGCGCAAGUGUGUGACUUUGACAUUAAAUGCUAUGAUAUUGUCGUAUUCUUAAACAAUGGAAGAUCUCUACUAGUUCUUUCAAAGGAAAGCCAACAACAGGAAUCGAACCUGUUCCUCCAUCGUACAGAUACGAAAGUGUGCACCAUUACACCAUGUUGGCAUACAUUAAGAACUGGUAGCCUUGGAGAGUAAAUAUUACAUUAUUCUGUACAGUUGAUACUGGUUUGUGUGAUAUAUGUAUAAAUAUAUAUAUAUAUACAAGUAUAUAUAAUGUAUGCCUCAUGUUUGGUAGUCGUCAAUAAAGCAUUUGAAUUGAA